AGAGUAAGUCGUUCUAUCGCUCCGGCAGAGGCCGGAGAGGAAAGUCCGGACAGCGCAGAGCACCGUACUUCCUAACGGGAAGGCAGCGGAUUGGUGACGAUAAGCUGACAGCCAGUGCCACAGAAAAAAUACCGCCUGGCAUGAUAUUUUGUGCCGGGUAAGGGUGAAAAGGUGGUGUAAGAGACCACCGUUCCGGCGGUGACGCCGGAAGCGAGGUAAACCUUACGGGCUGAAAGACCAAGUAAGUACUGAGUUUGGGGCGGCUCGUUCCAGUUUUUACUUCUAAUCGUUGUAAAACCUCAGUACGGGUAGGUCGUUAGAGGCUCCGGGUGACCGGAGUCCUAGACAAAUGAUAGAAAUUCCGGCCCUUUGCAAAAAGGACUGGAAUACAGAAUCCGGCUUACAGGCUUAUUUUUAUU
This 419-nucleotide RNase P RNA is filed under the name Rhabdobacter roseus. Its description in RNAcentral is "Bacterial RNase P class A". It matches the Rfam family "Bacterial RNase P class A". Rfam says of the family: Ribonuclease P (RNase P) is a ubiquitous endoribonuclease, found in archaea, bacteria and eukarya as well as chloroplasts and mitochondria. The record is from Rfam by way of RNAcentral. Lineage: Bacteria; Pseudomonadati; Bacteroidota; Cytophagia; Cytophagales; Cytophagaceae.